GGGGAAUAUUGCACAAUGGGCGCAAGCCUGAUGCAGCGACGCCGCGUGGGGGAUGACGGCCUUCGGGUUGUAAACUCCUUUCGCCAGGGACGAAGCGUUUUGUGACGGUACCUGGAGAAGAAGCACCGGCUAACUACGUGCCAGCAGCCGUGGUAAUACGCAGGGUGCAAGCGUUGUCCGGAAUUACUGGGCGUAAAGAGCUCGUAGGUGGUUUGUCACGUCGUCUGUGAAAUUCCACAGCUUAACUGUGGGCGUGCAGGCGAUACGGGCUGACUUGAGUACUGUAGGGGUAACUGGAAUUCCUGGUGUAGCGGUGAAAUGCGCAGAUAUCAGGAGGAACACCGAUGGCGAAGGCAGGUUACUGGGCAGUUACUGACGCUGAGGAGCGAAAGCAUGGGUAGCAAACAGGAUUAGAUACCCUGGUAGUCCAUGCCGUAAACGGUGGGCGCUAGGUGUAGGGGCCUUUUGGGGUUUCUGUGCCGUAGCUAACGCAUUAAGCGCCCCGCCUGGGGAGUACGGCCGCAAGGCUA
RNAcentral lists this ribosomal RNA (530 nucleotides) under uncultured bacterium. RNAcentral's name for it is "bacterial SSU rRNA". It matches the Rfam family "Bacterial small subunit ribosomal RNA", at positions 356 to 896 of the family's 1533-position model. The record is from RNAcentral.